RNAcentral lists this ribosomal RNA (576 nucleotides) under uncultured bacterium. RNAcentral's name for it is "bacterial SSU rRNA". It matches the Rfam family "Bacterial small subunit ribosomal RNA", at positions 1 to 597 of the family's 1533-position model. The record is from RNAcentral.
GGACCGGCACCUCCCGUUGCUCUAGAUUAGAGAACGAUCCUGGCUCGAACGAACGCUGGCGGCAGGCUUAACACAUGCAAGUCAAGGGGGUGUAGCGAUACACAACCGGCGCACGGGUGAGUAACGCGUGGGAACAUGUCCUAAAGUGGGGGAUAGCCGAUGGAAACGUCGGGUAAUACCGCAUAAACCAUGAGUGGGAAAGAUUUAUCGCUCUAGGAGGGUUGCGUUAGAUUAGCUAGUUGGUUAGGUAAAAGCUGACCAAGGCGAUGAUCCGUAGCAAAUAAAGAUAGGACGAUCAGCCAUCUUUGGGACUGAGACACGGCCCAGACUCCCUACGGGAGGCAGCAGUAAGGAAUAUUGGACAAUGGGGGGAACCCUGAUCCAGCCAUGCCGCGUGAGUGAAGAAGGCCUUCGGGUUGUAAAGCUCUUUUAUCAGGGAAGAUGAUGACGGUACCUGAAGAAUAAGCACCGGCUAACUUCGUGCCAGCAGCCCGCGGUAAUACGAAGGGUGCAAGCGUUGUUCGGAAUUACUGGGCGUAAAGGGCCAUGUAGGCAGUUAAAUUCAGUUAGGGGGUG